This 200-nucleotide unclassified non-coding RNA is filed under the name Hevea brasiliensis (rubber tree). Lineage: Eukaryota; Viridiplantae; Streptophyta; Magnoliopsida; Malpighiales; Euphorbiaceae. The record is from RNAcentral.
AGAGGAGAAAUGGUUGAAUUCGUUUAACUCUUAUUUUUAUCAUCAGUUUCUUUCUGGGAUUUGGGUGGAUUGCUGCAAAAGGCACAUUCAUGGUUGUAGCUUACUAGAAGUAACUAAAGCGGAGAACAAGCCNNNNNNNUAUAAUAAAAAAAAAAAAAAAGAAAAAGUGCUAAAUUAGCAUCAUAUAUCUUGAACUUGGG